CGGGGUGCACCAGGCGCGAAAACUUUACAAUGCGGGAAACCGUGAUAAGGGGACACCGAGUGCCAGCAUCAUAUGCUGGCUGUCCAGGUGUGUAAAAUACACCUGUUAGCAAGGGCCGGGCAAGACCGGUGCCAGCCGCCGCGGUAACACCGGCGGCCCGAGUGGUGAUCGUGAUUAUUGGGUCUAAAGGGUCCGUAGCCGGUUUGGUCAGUCCUCCGGGAAAUCUGAUAGCUUAACUAUUAGGCUUUCGGAGGAUACUGCCAGACUUGGAACCGGGAGAGGUAAGAGGUACUACAGGGGUAGGAGUGAAAUCUUGUAAUCCCUGUGGGACCACCUGUGGCGAAGGCGUCUUACCAGAACGGGUUCGACGGUGAGGGACGAAAGCUGGGGGCACGAACCGGAUUAGAUACCCGGGUAGUCCCAGCCGUAAACGAUGCUCGCUAGGUGUCAGGCAUGGCGCGACCGUGUCUGGUGCCGCAGGGAAGCCGUGAAGCGAGCCACCUGGGAAGUACGGCCGCAAGGCUGAAACUUAAAGGAAUUGGCGGGGGAGCACA
Molecule: ribosomal RNA, 554 nt
Filed under: uncultured archaeon
Lineage: Archaea
Description: bacterial SSU rRNA
Rfam family: Archaeal small subunit ribosomal RNA
Source: RNAcentral